Molecule: long non-coding RNA, 810 nt
Filed under: Equus asinus (donkey)
Lineage: Eukaryota; Metazoa; Chordata; Mammalia; Perissodactyla; Equidae
Description: lncRNA (ENSEASG00005038162.1)
Source: RNAcentral
CCUCCCCCACCCCGACCUCCUCCGAUGACUCAGCCUAACACACCACCACCACCACCACCUCAGCCUUCCCACGUUCUGGCAGUCUUCCCAAUUCUGAGUAUCUUGAACCAUCCAAACCACAAACAUCUCCAGCACAUGGUUUCCAUUAUAACAAUCCUGGGUAUCUGUCAAAAGUGAAGAGCAGGAGGUUGUAACUCUGAGGAGAGAAGACAGACUGGAGAGCCAAUCAAAUUUCAAACUAUACUUUGCUGUGGGCAUGGAUGGAGAAGCAGGUCACAUCUGAUGAAUGAAGAGGAGCUUCCAAGCAGCCAAAGUAAAGUAUUUUGCUACACAAACUGCAGGAUCAAUGUUCGUGUUUUGAAGCUCAAGAGAUUGACAGCUGUAGAAAUUAAGUUCCAGAAUAUAUCCACCAGCCAGGUAUACUGGAAGCAAAUGUUCUUUUUCUGAGAUUCGCCAUGCCAGUGGCCUUAACCCUGACUUGGAAGGACAAUGCAAUCAACUACAGAAAGAAAAGCCUGCAGUGGUUCUGGAGCAGUCUUAGGCUUUUUUGAAUAUCACUAUCAUUAAACAAAUUGUUGUUUAUCAGGAGCUGUUUCUCCAGCAAAUCUCUAUCACAGGCUCAUAAUACAUUGGAGCUAGAAAUCUGAAAGUGCUCAAUCUUUAAUUAUUAAAAUAAAAGCCAGGAUCCUAACUUACCCAUCCACUUUUUUUUUAGACAGGAUGAAGAAAUGAAUAUAACUAAAAGAAGAGGGAAACCUCAGAGCUAAAUUUCAGCAAAGUUGACAUGAGAUACAGAUUGGCAACCUGCAU